AACGCUGGCGGCAUGCCUAACACAUGCAAGUCGAACGAGACCUUCGGGUCUAGUGGCGCACGGGUGCGUAACACGUGGAAUUUGCCUCGGGGUAUGGAAUAACUCAGGGAAACUUGAGCUAAUACCAUAUAAUGUCUUCGGACCAAAGAUUUAUCGCCCUGAGAUAAGCCCGCGUAGGAUUAGCUAGUUGGUGAGGUAAAGGCUCACCAAGGCGACGAUCCUUAGCUGGUCUGAGAGGAUGAUCAGCCACACUGGGACUGAGACACGGCCCAGACUCCUACGGGAGGCAGCAGUGGGGGAAUAUUGGACAAUGGGCGAAAGCCUGAUCCAGCAAUGCCGCGUGAGUGAUGAAGGCCUUCGGGUUGUAAAGCUCUUUUACUCGGGACGAUAAUGACGGUACCGAGAGAAUAAGCCCCGGCUAACUCCGUG
This 429-nucleotide ribosomal RNA is filed under the name uncultured bacterium. RNAcentral describes it as "bacterial SSU rRNA". It matches the Rfam family "Bacterial small subunit ribosomal RNA", at positions 32 to 507 of the family's 1533-position model. The record is from RNAcentral.